CAAUUGCUUAUAACCUUUUGGUUAUAAAUAGUUGUUAGUGGCAGACGGGUGAGUAAUGCGUAGGAAUCUACCUAGUAGUAUGGAAUAGCCAUUAGAAAUGAUGGGUAAUACUGUAUAAUCCCUGCGGGGGAAAGAUUUAUCGCUAUUAGAUGAGCCUACGUUAGAUUAGCUAGUUGGUAAGGUAAUGGCUUACCAAGGCUAUGAUCUAUAGCUGGUCUGAGAGGACGAUCAGCCACACUGGAACUGAGAUACGGUCCAGACUCCUACGGGAGGCAGCAGUGGGGAAUAUUGGACAAUGGGCGAAAGCCUGAUCCAGCUAUGCCGCGUGAGUGAAGAAGGCCUUCGGGUUGUAAAACUCUUUCAAUAGGGAAGAUAAUGACGGUACCUAUAGAAAAAGUCCCGGCAAACUG
Molecule: ribosomal RNA, 410 nt
Filed under: Ehrlichia chaffeensis
Lineage: Bacteria; Pseudomonadati; Pseudomonadota; Alphaproteobacteria; Rickettsiales; Anaplasmataceae
Description: bacterial SSU rRNA
Rfam family: Bacterial small subunit ribosomal RNA
Source: RNAcentral